RNAcentral lists this ribosomal RNA (464 nucleotides) under uncultured bacterium. RNAcentral describes it as "partial 16S ribosomal RNA". It matches the Rfam family "Bacterial small subunit ribosomal RNA", at positions 29 to 507 of the family's 1533-position model. The record is from RNAcentral.
ACGAACGCUGGCGGCGUGCUUAACACAUGCAAGUCGAACGGAAGGGCCCCUUUGGGGGUACUCGAGUGGCGAACGGGUGAGUAACACGUGAGUAACCUGCCCUUGACUUCGGGAUAACUUCAGGAAACUGGGGCUAAUACCGGAUAGGAAUCCUUGCUGCAUGGUGGGGGUUGGAAAGCUUCGGCGGUUUUGGAUGGACUCGCGGCUUAUCAGCUUGUUGGUGGGGUAGUGGCUUACCAAGGCUUUGACGGGUAGCCGGCCUGAGAGGGCGACCGGCCACAUUGGGACUGAGAUACGGCCCAGACUCCUACGGGAGGCAGCAGUGGGGAAUAUUGCACAAUGGGCGGAAGCCUGAUGCAGCAACGCCGCGUGCGGGAUGACGGCCUUCGGGUUGUAAACCGCUUUCAGCAGGGGCGAAGCUUGUGGUGACGGUACCUGCAGAAGAAGCACCGGCUAACUACGUG